GAUAAUCAAUGAAUAAAAGGAGAGUUUGAGGAUGGAUAUCUAGAUGAUGGAUAUAUUUCUAUAAUUGCAUAUUUCUAUAAUUUCUAUGAUAGAUGAUCCACAGGAAUUAGAGAAGUAUAGCGACGAUAACAAGGAACUGGCUUGGAUGUUCUUCAUUGACGGCUGUGUAAUUUUACAAGCAGUUUACAUGCGUUACGCGAGAGAGAAAAUGGCGAAAAAUUCAUGAAUGUAAUCCAAAGGUUCAUCGACGAUAUUGUUAUCAACCCAGGCGAGGACAGGGUAACAGACUCUUCAAAGAGGGAAAAUUUGAACUUGCCAGGGCAAAAUAUGAAAAUGUGUCUAAUGUGAUGCUGGAUAUGUUUACUUCAAGAAAAAUAAAGAGUGAGAUGUUUGAGGUUUA
Molecule: long non-coding RNA, 400 nt
Organism: Gossypium arboreum
Lineage: Eukaryota; Viridiplantae; Streptophyta; Magnoliopsida; Malvales; Malvaceae
Exons: 3
Source: RefSeq, a predicted model, not a curated record